This 301-nucleotide ribosomal RNA is filed under the name uncultured bacterium. Its description in RNAcentral is "partial 16S ribosomal RNA". It matches the Rfam family "Bacterial small subunit ribosomal RNA", at positions 509 to 807 of the family's 1533-position model. The record is from RNAcentral.
CAGUCGCCGCGGUAAUGCGUAGGGUCCGAGCGUUGUCCGGAAUUAUUGGGCGUAAAGGGCUCGUAGGCGGUUUGUUGCGUCGGGAGUGAAAACCAGGUGCUUAACACCUGGCCUGCUUUCGAUACGGGCAGACUAGAGGCAUUCAGGGGAGAACGGAAUUCCUGGUGUAGCGGUGAAAUGCGCAGAUAUCAGGAGGAACACCGGUGGCGAAGGCGGUUCUCUGGGAAUGUUCUGACGCUGAGGAGCGAAAGUGUGGGGAGCGAACAGGAUUAGAUACCCCGGUAGUCCCUGUCUCUUAUAC